RNAcentral lists this ribosomal RNA (229 nucleotides) under uncultured bacterium. Its description in RNAcentral is "partial 16S ribosomal RNA". It matches the Rfam family "Bacterial small subunit ribosomal RNA", at positions 568 to 796 of the family's 1533-position model. The record is from RNAcentral.
CGUGUAGGCGGCUUGGUAAGUCAGAUGUGAAAGCCCAGGGCUCAACCCUGGAAGUGCAUUUGAUACUGCCGAGCUUGAGUAUGGGAGAGGAGAGCGGAAUUCCCAGUGUAGAGGUGAAAUUCGUAGAUAUUGGGAGGAACACCCGUGGCGAAGGCGGCUCUCUGGACCAAUACUGACGCUGAGACGCGAAAGCGUGGGGAGCAAACAGGAUUAGAUACCCUGGUAGUCC